Molecule: ribosomal RNA, 534 nt
Filed under: Colletotrichum laticiphilum
Lineage: Eukaryota; Fungi; Ascomycota; Sordariomycetes; Glomerellales; Glomerellaceae
Description: eukaryotic LSU rRNA
Rfam family: 5.8S ribosomal RNA (bases 188-341)
Source: RNAcentral
UCAUUACUGAGUUACCGCUCUAUAACCCUUUGUGAACAUACCUAACCGUUGCUUCGGCGGGCAGGGGAAGCCUCUCGCGGGCCUCCCCUCCCGGCGCCGGCCCCACCACGGGGACGGGGCGCCCGCCGGAGGAAACCAAACUCUAUUUACACGACGUCUCUUCUGAGUGGCACAAGCAAAUAAUUAAAACUUUUAACAACGGAUCUCUUGGUUCUGGCAUCGAUGAAGAACGCAGCGAAAUGCGAUAAGUAAUGUGAAUUGCAGAAUUCAGUGAAUCAUCGAAUCUUUGAACGCACAUUGCGCUCGCCAGCAUUCUGGCGAGCAUGCCUGUUCGAGCGUCAUUUCAACCCUCAAGCACCGCUUGGUUUUGGGGCCCCACGGCACACGUGGGCCCUUAAAGGUAGUGGCGGACCCUCCCGGAGCCUCCUUUGCGUAGUAACUAACGUCUCGCACUGGGAUUCGGAGGGACUCUUGCCGUAAAACCCCCCAAUUUUUUACAGGUUGACCUCGGAUCAGGUAGGAAUACCCGCUGAA